Molecule: ribosomal RNA, 505 nt
Filed under: Aspergillus flavus
Lineage: Eukaryota; Fungi; Ascomycota; Eurotiomycetes; Eurotiales; Aspergillaceae
Description: eukaryotic LSU rRNA
Rfam family: 5.8S ribosomal RNA (bases 131-284)
Source: RNAcentral
UUAGUUGCUUCGGCGGGCCCGCCAUUCAUGGCCGCCGGGGGCUCUCAGCCCCGGGCCCGCGCCCGCCGGAGACACCACGAACUCUGUCUGAUCUAGUGAAGUCUGAGUUGAUUGUAUCGCAAUCAGUUAAAACUUUCAACAAUGGAUCUCUUGGUUCCGGCAUCGAUGAAGAACGCAGCGAAAUGCGAUAACUAGUGUGAAUUGCAGAAUUCCGUGAAUCAUCGAGUCUUUGAACGCACAUUGCGCCCCCUGGUAUUCCGGGGGGCAUGCCUGUCCGAGCGUCAUUGCUGCCCAUCAAGCACGGCUUGUGUGUUGGGUCGUCGUCCCCUCUCCGGGGGGGACGGGCCCCAAAGGCAGCGGCGGCACCGCGUCCGAUCCUCGAGCGUAUGGGGCUUUGUCACCCGCUCUGUAGGCCCGGCCGGCGCUUGCCGAACGCAAAUCAAUCUUUUUCCAGGUUGACCUCGGAUCAGGUAGGGAUACCCGCUGAACUUAAGCAUAUCAUAGC